Molecule: ribosomal RNA, 253 nt
Filed under: uncultured bacterium
Lineage: Bacteria
Description: partial 16S ribosomal RNA
Rfam family: Bacterial small subunit ribosomal RNA
Source: RNAcentral
UACAGAGGGUGCGAGCGUUAAUCGGAAUUACUGGGCGUAAAGCGCACGUAGGUGGCGACGUAAGUCGGGUGUGAAAGCCCCGGGCUCAACCUGGGAAUUGCAUUCGAGACUGCAUUGCUGGAGUACGGAAGAGGAAGGCGGAAUUCCCGGUGCAGUGGUGGAAUGCGUAGAUAUCGGGAGGAACACCAGUGGCGAAGGCGGGUACCUGGACCAACACUGACGCUGAGGCGCGAAAGCUAGGGGAGCAAACAGG